RNAcentral lists this transfer RNA (69 nucleotides) under Loxodonta africana (African savanna elephant). It matches the Rfam family "tRNA". From Rfam's summary of the family: Transfer RNA (tRNA) molecules are approximately 80 nucleotides in length. Their secondary structure includes four short double-helical elements and three loops (D, anti-codon, and T loops). Further hydrogen bonds mediate the characteristic L-shaped molecular structure. tRNAs have two regions of fundamental functional importance: the anti-codon, which is responsible for specific mRNA codon recognition, and the 3' end, to which the tRNAs corresponding amino acid is attached (by aminoacyl-tRNA synthetases). tRNAs cope with the degeneracy of the genetic code in two manners: having more than one tRNA (with a specific anti-codon) for a particular amino acid; and 'wobble' base-pairing, i.e. permitting non-standard base-pairing at the 3rd anti-codon position. Lineage: Eukaryota; Metazoa; Chordata; Mammalia; Proboscidea; Elephantidae. The record is from Rfam by way of RNAcentral.
GCCUUGGUGGUUCAGUGGUAGAACUCUCCUUCCAUACACAAGACCUGGGUUCAAUUCCCAGCCAAUGUA